UUUAAUUCGAAGCAACGCGCAGAACCUUACCAACCCUUGACAUCCCAGGACAUCCCCAGAGAUGGGGCUUCCACUUCGGUGGCCUGGAGACAGGUGCUGCAUGGCUGUCGUCAGCUCGUGUCGUGAGAUGUUCGGUUAAGUCCGGCAACGAGCGCAACCCACGUCCCCAGUUGCCAGCAUUCAGUUGGGCACUCUGUGGAAACUGCCGAUGAUAAGUCGGAGGAAGGUGUGGAUGACGUCAAGUCCUCAUGGCCCUUACGGGUUGGGCUACACACGUGCUACAAUGGUGGUGACAGUGGGUUAAUCCCCAAAAGCCAUCUCAGUUCGGAUUGGGGUCUGCAACUCGACCCCAUGAAGUUGGAAUCGCUAGUAAUCGCGGAACAGCAUGCCG
RNAcentral lists this ribosomal RNA (391 nucleotides) under uncultured bacterium. RNAcentral describes it as "bacterial SSU rRNA". It matches the Rfam family "Bacterial small subunit ribosomal RNA", at positions 945 to 1359 of the family's 1533-position model. The record is from RNAcentral.